This 537-nucleotide unclassified non-coding RNA is filed under the name Bombus terrestris (buff-tailed bumblebee). RNAcentral describes it as "misc RNA ENSBTSG00005021141.1". The record is from RNAcentral. Lineage: Eukaryota; Metazoa; Arthropoda; Insecta; Hymenoptera; Apidae.
GCCGUUUCUUCGUUUUUCCGUUGUUUUUUCGCGGCCUCGCACAAGCGCAUCGACGCCGCGCCGCAAAAGAGAAGAGAGAAGAACGGAGGAAAAACUGGACGAGCGAAACGCGACGGCGAGAAAGGCGAAGAGACGGCGACGGGACACGGCGGAUCGAAGCGAGAGGAGAAAACGGACGAGGUCUCGAAACGACGAAGAGGGACGCGAAGAAGAGGAGCGGAGGACGCGGCAGAGAAGAGAGAAGCGCGGUGGUACCCGUCGCGGGAGAAGCUGCACCGCCCGAAGGAAGGAAAGCGGUUCGAGUUGCGCUCGUCUCGCUCGAUCGUACCUUCGGCUCGCUUCCCUUUGUCCCUGUCGUACAUACGCGUUCACGCAUACGCGCGCUCACGCAUACGCGUGCGUGGCCGUCAUCAUCGCGAUCCGGACGUCUCGCAUGGAACGUAGGAAACGAAGCCGGGCAACUCGCCUCCAGAGUUCUCGGAGGGGUCUGCGAGCGGACCGAAGUAGCCGCGAGCUACCACCAUCGAACGCCGCUCC